UUUAUCGCGAACAGACUGACAGACAGAUAGACGCGGUAGAGGACUGUGUUUUAUUUAUACAUAUAAUUAAUAUAAUAGUAAUUAAACAGUAAAAAUAUUUUAGUAUUUGUGUGUAUUUUAUUUACAUUUAGUAUGGAACACACAUAAACAAAUAAACAUUUCUAUCCAUCUAUCUAGUAUUUUUGACUGAAAUGGAUAGAGAGACCCUUAAAACGAUUAAUAGAAAGCAAAAAAAAUGUCUGUCUGUAUGUAUGAUUAUGCUUCUCUCUGAAGGUACUGGACGGACUCGAAUGAAACGUUUUUGUUAUAUAGCUACAUAUUAAGCCUGGGCAACAUAUAAGGUAUAAAUUAUUUUGAAAAUUAGAACAUCUGUUGGAGAACCAUGACGGUUCAGCUAGACUAUACGAAAUAUAGAAAUGACGCCUUCACAAAAAUUGUUCAGCCUGAUCAUGAUGAGCAUUUUCUGUUGAGGUAUAGAAAUACUCAAACUCCGGGGCGCGAGUCCAACUCACACUUGACCGUUUUAUUUAAUUAGAAUUUGAUUAUGUAGCUGGCAACACUCUCAAACUCGAAGGGGAUUCACUCAGAUAUUGGGAAGCUAAAUAUAGAGUCCGCAGUUUAUUUGACGUGUAGUAUAAAAGCAAGGGGCAACUUUUUGCAGUUUGCAUUAUAAAAGCAGAGUUUGUACAGUGGCUUACGAGUGGAUUCGUGGUGCUAUUGAUAUUGUUUUUACAUAUUAUACUUAUUAAAAACAAGAUGGAUCUUUUUUCCAACAUCCUGGACAAUAUUCCGGUGGUAGGCCAAGUGAAAAUGGUGGCCCACCAGCUCAGCGGCGACAGCGAGGCGGCAGAACGCUCCUUUGAGAGGUCUACCAAGGCCACGAGCAGUUUGGCCGGGGUCCUCGGAGGCGGGAUCGCAGGGGGGCCGGCGGGGGCCAUCGCUGGUUAUGUGGCGGGGGGCGCGGCUGGUGACGCGUUGGUCGAUUCGACUAAAAACAACAAAAUAAAAUAAAUGUGUAAUAUGAAUGUAUUCCAAAAAUAAAUGUUUGUCUAUA
Plodia interpunctella (Indianmeal moth) is the source of this 1054-nucleotide long non-coding RNA. RefSeq lists it as uncharacterized. The transcript has 2 exons. Lineage: Eukaryota; Metazoa; Arthropoda; Insecta; Lepidoptera; Pyralidae. The record is from RefSeq and is a predicted model, not a curated record.